Long non-coding RNA from Amphiprion ocellaris (clown anemonefish), 2641 nucleotides. RefSeq lists it as uncharacterized. The transcript has 2 exons. Lineage: Eukaryota; Metazoa; Chordata; Actinopteri; Pomacentridae. The record is from RefSeq and is a predicted model, not a curated record.
CAAUACUCCUUUGUUGGUUUACAUUUUUCCUGCUAUCAAGAGAUCAGUGCAUUCACACACAUAUACAGGACACCUAUUUCAGAGAUACAUACUGUCCUUGUUUUAUGCUUAUCAUGUGGCAUAAAGGCAUAAAAGAGACCCGAUGUUGAUCUGUGAUACCAAUGCACAGGCUAAGUCUUGUUGUACAAUUCUACAGUUUCAUUUAGCAGAUGGUUUUAUCCAAAGCGACGCACAUCUGAAAGUAGAUACAACACAAGCAAGGAUCUAGUCAGGAGAAAACUACCUGGAUAAGUGCUAUAAUACAAGUUCAAGUAGGAUAAUAGGACCUUGGUGCUUACAGGCAUUGUGGGAGGUAAUAGGAAUUUUUUUUUUUUUUUCUGUUUACAGUCUGUCAGGCACAAAGUUGUUCAGUGAAGAGCUGGGUUCUUAGUCUUUUCUUAAAGACUGAGAGAGACUCUGCAGAUCGAACAGAGUUUGGUUCCACCAUCUGGGAACCACAGAGGAGAAGAGUCUAGCUAUCGACCGGAACUGCUGUGGUGGUCGUAUCAGGCGUCUUUUGUUGGCCGAGCGUUGGCCGAGUUCAGAUGUUCAGAGGGAGAUGAUGCCACAUCUGGUCCAGCCGAUGGAAGGUCUUGAAGUUCUCUGACUGGCCUCGACUGAAGAUGGUCGUCUCACUGGAUUUAAGGUUCAGAUGCUCAGUAACAAACUCCACCAAUGAGCCAACAGGGAAGCUUUAGGUUUAUUAAAUGUUGCUAUGAAGGUUUCGCUGUUUUUCUUUGUGAAUGCAAUGUGCUCCAACUGAAACCUGAAUUAGAACUUAGAAGUAAUUUUUUAUUCCAGUCUUGGUUGGAAAUAGAAUCUCUGUAUUGAUUCAGGUAAAAACUGAACUUCACAGCAUGUUGGAGCAAAACAACCAGAUGAAAACUGUGAUGGUGUUGGAUUGUCAGACCGUAAUGUUGCAGCUCAAAGCAGCUUUUCUAGCUCAGUUCAUUCUGACAUUCAGCUAUGAAUCAACACAGCAGAUGGUGAUCCAUGCUGUGGAAGUCUCACAUCUCCUGAUUUAAUGGAGCUGCUUUGCACUUUUUACACUGUUUAUUCACCAACACUUUAUUUAAUAAAAGUCCCAUCUAGUUUUUAUGAGGAAUGUGAUGUUUUAAUUUCUCUGUGAAUAACUGCAGUCUAAUGGAACAGCUGGAGUUGUAACAUCUGUCCUGAUAUUGAUCAUGAAGUAUUGAUCAGAAUACUUAUGGUCAGCAGUCAUCCCUGAAGUUUUACAUUAAAAUCUUUACUUGUGUUGUGAACUUUGGUAAGAAGCAGAAACGUUAGCGUUGCCAUGGAUACAUGAGUGUUAAAUUCAGUUCAUGUUUCCAUUUUGGGAAAUGCAGUCCAGUUCCAGAAUGUGGAGGAAUUUAGUCUCACAAUCACAGACAAUAAAUAUUAUCUGAAAGUCGAGUUUUUGUUGUUUAUGAGCACAAUACAAAAAGAUUCAUGUUAGAAAUAUUCCAGUUAAGACUCUAGAAUAUCAUGAUUUAUGUACAUUUACCUCAAUAAUAUGAAUGUUCAGGUUAAGAUUGUGCAGUGAUAUUUAUUAUGUAAGUUUAGCUGAUUAAAGUUUAUGACUCUGCACUAAAAUAUUGUUUAAAUUGACAUCAUUAUUAUAAUAUUUAGGGUCAGACCCUACAGUAUUGAGAUUAAGAAAUCAAAUAUUCUAUAAAAUGUAAAUUAACUGAACUAAUCUGGAUAUAUUUAAGUGAGACUCUACAAUAUUAUUUGACACAAAUCUAAAUCAAAAUUUUAAUAAUUUUCACGCCACACAUUUACUGGACUGAUUUAAACAUUAAAAUCGCUCCUUUCUAAUCCUCUGCUGUACGUUCAAACCUGAGGCCUUAAAUAGAAACACUCAAGUAUCUGAUUGAAGGAACUUCUGCAGAGUCCUGGUUCCAGAACAUGAUGAUAGAAUUAUAGACAAACUUUAACAAAAGCUGCCUGAGAGUUUACAGCUUUUUAUGUUGGAUUUCUUCAGUAAUUUAAUGAGUUAUCAGCAAAAAUCAAGUGUUCAUUUGAUGAACUUCAUUUCCUAAAACAUCCAGAAUUGGAGCUCAUAUCUUUGGCAGCUGUAAAGUUUCUGCUCCUUCAAAGUUCACAACACAAUGAAUGAAUUCCUAAAACACUCUCAGUGCUGGAGAGCAUUUGUGAUGCUGAAGCAGUGACCAGUUUUUCUGUUUCUUCUCUGGAGAUGCACAAUGAGGGACGUCUGCAGAGACUGAGAAAGAGUCUCACCACAUCCUGACAUGAGGAAAAAGACUUUAUUGAAGACUACAAUGAGAAAAACUAUCAGACAGCAGACGGCUGCAUUCAAGGUGAGAUCUGAACAUUUGAUCUGGAACAGGAAUUCAAUAACGGCAGCAUGAGCUUCAUUUCAGUCUGUAGCUGCUGAAUUCAUGGAUGAAUCAUCUGGCACUAGAGAGGAAGACCAUCAAACAUCCACGUCAGCUGAUGGAGGUCCAAGAGUCUCACCCAACAAACAACCUACAGAGUGAAGACCUCCAAUCUGAUUGGACGGCCUCCUAUUCAGCCACAUGUGUGAACAAAUGCCUCUAAGCUGAUUUGUUUUCUAAAAUAAAUCUAGUUUGAGUCCUAA